This is a long non-coding RNA of Lucilia cuprina (Australian sheep blowfly), 1506 nucleotides long. RefSeq lists it as uncharacterized. The transcript is spliced from 5 exons. The record is from RefSeq and is a predicted model, not a curated record. Lineage: Eukaryota; Metazoa; Arthropoda; Insecta; Diptera; Calliphoridae.
AUUUUCUAUUAUUUUUCUACGGAAUUACAAGAAAAUUCUUUGGGAUCUAAUAAAUAAAAUAAUAAUGCACACAACACAACCAAAUAAUUGAAUGGCAUCGAAUAUAAAAAUUAAAGAGUUUACAUAAAUUAAAGAUUUUCUUUGAUCGUAUUACUGCGUACGUGAUGGAAUAGGCUUUUGUAACAAAAUCACAUUUCAAUAACGAAAUUUAUCUAAGUUGUGUGUGAUGUACUUUGCAUAAAAUCAAAAUUCGCGAAGUUGUCAUGUGGUUGUUGUUUUUUAUAAUAACAAUAACUUCACACCUUAAAUAUACCAGUUUUCUUUUAACGAUUUGAUUUGAUUGAGGAAUACAAAUAAGCGGUAAAAUUAACAUUUCGUCAUCAGUUUUACUCCAUCACGAUUGUGGUAAUUCGCUAAAUGAUUUGUAAUGCGAAAGAAAUUAGAUUGUUUAAAAUUGUAAUUGUGUUAUUGUUUAAAAUAAUAAUUUUUAAGAGAGAGAGAUAAUUUUAACUUCAUUUUGCAAAAGAAAAAGUUCUAUUUAAAAGUAUAAAAAAUAGUGAAAGAAGAAUUUUAUCAGUGAGACAAAAAUCUUUGAUUUAUGUAAACUCCUUUGUUUUUAUAAACAUACUAUUUUGGAGAAUGGAAUUAUAGCUAAAAACUUAAACCUCAAAUUAGACCUUCAAGGAUUUAGCAUCCAUAAUUAUGUAAAUUACAAAGCUAUUAACUCAAAACCUGUAAGGAUUUGUCUUUAGAAGUAUGGAGUUCAUAAAGGUAAUUUUUAUAACAACAUUUUGGUAGAUAGUUAAAUAAUUUCUAAUAUUUUAUGAUGAUAAUAUUAAUUUAUGUCUUCUUUUCCCGACAUAAUUCACUUUUGAUGAUAAUAUUAAAUCUGAUUGUAAGCUUAAACGAGUAAAAUUUUAAUUAUAGAGAAAGUUGAAUGUAUUUUGUUGCAAAAACAACGACGCUUUAAUAAAUUAUUUUUAAUUAAAUUAUCAUUUAUUAAAAUUUGUUUAAUCAUGUCUGUUCUUUAAAUCGAUUCGGUCUUAAAACCGAUAAGCUUCUAAAACCCAAUUUGUUCAGUAAAUCAAAUUUUAUUUGAACGUAAUAUUCAGAAAAAUUAACUUAUUUUAAAUGAAAAAAAAGAGUUUAUAAUGUUCAUAGCAUUUAUAUUAAGUUACAAUUGUAUUAAAAACCCCAAAAAUAAUUAUUUAAUGCAUUAUAAUCAAAUUAAAUUCGAUUUACUUUCGACUAGAUUUGAAUACGAGAAAAAUUAUUAUAAUUCAUUUUUAAACGGAUUCAGUUUACAGAACAGACAUGAAAUGAAAUUCACGCUCAAACAGUUCUUGUGUAAUUAGGAUCUUGUGUAUGUACUUAUCGAUUUCAGGAAAUUGGAUGGAUGACAUUCAGAUUUUUUUGAAGCUGAACUGUUAUUUUUCAUUAUUUUCCAUUUUAUUUAUAGUUUAAUAUUAUUUUAGAAAAAUAAAAUAAAAAAUUAAAAACAAAUUA